This is a long non-coding RNA of Chinchilla lanigera (long-tailed chinchilla), 230 nucleotides long. RefSeq lists it as uncharacterized. The record is from RefSeq and is a predicted model, not a curated record. The transcript is spliced from 3 exons. NCBI's taxonomy places the organism in Eukaryota, Metazoa, Chordata, Mammalia, Rodentia, Chinchillidae.
UACUGAUUUGUGUUCAAGUUGAAAAACUCAGACCUAAGAAACACUCACAGAAGAGGACUUCCAGAACUGUUUCAGAAAGUAAGAAGAGUGAGGCAGUGUUACGUACACGAACCAACUACCUGCAAUGAAUGUAAUCAUUAUUUGACAAAGAAGACUAAAUUGGGGCUACAGAAUCUUCCCUUCUGAACUCAUUGUAUAACCAAGAAGAAGCCAUGACAAGUUUAAAAUGU